GACGAACGCUGGCGGCGUGCUUAACACAUGCAAGUCGAGCGGUAAGGCCCUUCGGGGUACACGAGCGGCGAACGGGUGAGUAACACGUGAGCAACCUGCCCCUGACUCCGGGAUAAGCGGUGGAAACGCCGUCUAAUACCGGAUACGACCCGCCACCUCAUGGUGGAGGGUGGAAAGUUUUUCGGUCAGGGAUGGGCUCGCGGCCUAUCAGCUUGUUGGUGGGGUAACGGCCUACCAAGGCGAUUACGGGUAGCCGGCCUGAGAGGGCGACCGGCCACACUGGGACUGAGACACGGCCCAGACUCCUGCGGGAGGCAGCAGUGGGGAAUAUUGCGCAAUGGGCGAAAGCCUGACGCAGCGACGCCGCGUGGGGGAUGACGGCCUUCGGGUUGUAAACCUCUUUUACCACCAACGCAGGCUCGAAGUUCUCUUCGGGUUGACGGUAGGUGGGGAAUAAGGACCGGCUAACUACGUGCCAGCAGCCGCGGUAAUACGUAGGGUCCGAGCGUUGUCCGGAAUUAUUGGGCGUAAAGAGCUCGUAGGCGGCGUGUCGCGUCUGCUGUGAAAGACCGGGGCUUAACUCCGGUUCUGCAGUGGAUACGGGCAUGCUAGAGGUAGGUAGGGGAGACUGGAAUUCCUGGUGUAGCGGUGAAAUGCGCAGAUAUCAGGAGGAACACCGGUGGCGAAGGCGGGUCUCUGGGCCUUACCUGACGCUGAGGAGCGAAAGCAUGGGGAGCGAACAGGAUUAGAUACCCUGGUAGUCCAUGCCGUAAACGUUGGGCGCUAGGUGUGGGGACUUUCCACGGUUUCCGCGCCGUAGCUAACGCAUUAAGCGCCCCGCCUGGGGGAGUACGGCCGCAAGGCUAAAACUCAAAGGAAUUGACGGGGGGCCCGCACAAGCGGCGGAGCAUGUUGCUUAAUUCGACGCAAC
This 931-nucleotide ribosomal RNA is filed under the name Nocardiopsis alborubida. RNAcentral describes it as "bacterial SSU rRNA". It matches the Rfam family "Bacterial small subunit ribosomal RNA", at positions 28 to 960 of the family's 1533-position model. The record is from RNAcentral. Lineage: Bacteria; Bacillati; Actinomycetota; Actinomycetes; Streptosporangiales; Nocardiopsidaceae.